CCAAGCCCUGUGUCAGAGCAGGCAUUGACAUCCCGGACUCUGCAGUAAAAGAUCUCUAACUGUUCAAUGACCUCAAGUGCUGAGUAAAGGUCUAAAUCUGAAGCCAUUUGAUGGUAUGUGAUGACAUCUCUAUAUAGUGUAAAAAAAAAUCUCUAAUGGGAGGGAUGUUAACAACCAACUACCUUUAUGUGCAACUGCUGCGAAGAAAGUGAACCGGUAUGUUACUUGGUGGACCGACAGACUGACUGACCAACAGGCAGCAGCAAAGCAAUAUGCCCUCCCUUUUUUGAAGGGUGUAUAAUUAUUAUAUGGUCAACAUCAUCAGGCAAGUCUCCUCCAGUUGUAUCCACCACGUCCUGUUGGGUCCAUCUUCUGUA
Molecule: long non-coding RNA, 377 nt
Organism: Saccostrea cuccullata (small rock oyster)
Lineage: Eukaryota; Metazoa; Mollusca; Bivalvia; Ostreida; Ostreidae
Exons: 3
Source: RefSeq, a predicted model, not a curated record